GUGCUUAACACAUGCAAGUCGAACGGAAAGGCCCUGCUUUUGUGGGGUGCUCGAGUGGCGAACGGGUGAGUAACACGUGAGUAACCUGCCCUUGACUUUGGGAUAACUUCAGGAAACUGGGGCUAAUACCGGAUAGGAGCUCCUGCUGCAUGGUGGGGGUUGGAAAGUUUCGGCGGUUGGGGAUGGACUCGCGGCUUAUCAGCUUGUUGGUGGGGUAGUGGCUUACCAAGGCUUUGACGGGUAGCCGGCCUGAGAGGGUGACCGGCCACAUUGGGACUGAGAUACGGCCCAGACUCCUACGGGAGGCAGCAGUGGGGAAUAUUGCACAAUGGGCGGAAGCCUGAUGCAGCAACGCCGCGUGCGGGAUGACGGCCUUCGGGUUGUAAACCGCUUUCGCCUGUGACGAAGCGUGAGUGACGGUAAUGGGUAAAGAAGCACCGGCUAACUACGUGCCAGCAGCCGCGGUGAUACGUAGGGUGCGAGCGUUGUCCGGAUUUAUUGGGCGUAAAGGGCUCGUAGGUGGUUGAUCGCGUCGGAAGUGUAAUCUUGGGGCUUAACCCUGAGCGUGCUUUCGAUACGGGUUGACUUGAGGAAGGUAGGGGAGAAUGGAAUUCCUGGUGGAGCGGUGGAAUGCGCAGAUAUCAGGAGGAACACCAGUGGCGAAGGCGGUUCUCUGGGCCUUUCCUGACGCUGAGGAGCGAAAGCGUGGGGAGCGAACAGGCUUAGAUACCCUGGUAGUCCACGCUGUAAACGGUGGGUACUAGGUGUGGGGUCCAUUCCACGGGUUCCGUGCCGUAGCUAACGCUUUAAGUACCCCGCCUGGGGAGUACGGCCGCAAGGCUAAAACUCAAAGGAAUUGACGGGGCCCCGCACAAGCGGCGGAGCAUGCGGAUUAAUUCGAUGCAACGCGUAGAACCUUACCUGGGUUUGACAUGGAUCGGGAGUGCUCAGAGAUGGGUGUGCCUCUUUUGGGGUCGGUUCACAGGUGGUGCAUGGCUGUCGUCAGCUCGUGUCGUGAGAUGUUGGGUUAAGUCCCGCAACGAGCGCAACCCUUGUUCACUGUUGCCAGCACGUUAUGGUGGGGACUCAGUGGAGACCGCCGGGGUCAACUCGGAGGAAGGUGGGGAUGACGUCAAGUCAUCAUGCCCCUUAUGUCCAGGGCUUCACGCAUGCUACAAUGGCUGGUACAGAGAGUGGCGAGCCUGUGAGGGUGAGCGAAUCUCGGAAAGCCGGUCUCAGUUCGGAUUGGGGUCUGCAACUCGACCUCAUGAAGUCGGAGUCGCUAGUAAUCGCAGAUCAGCAACGCUGCGGUGAAUACGUUCCCGGGGCUUGUACACACCGCCCGUCAAGUCAUGAAAGUUGGUAACACCCGAAGCCGGUGGCCUAACCGUUGUGGGGGAGCCGUCGAAGGUGGGACUGGUGA
This 1423-nucleotide ribosomal RNA is filed under the name uncultured organism. RNAcentral describes it as "16S ribosomal RNA". It matches the Rfam family "Bacterial small subunit ribosomal RNA". The record is from RNAcentral.